Molecule: long non-coding RNA, 373 nt
Organism: Mastomys coucha (southern multimammate mouse)
Lineage: Eukaryota; Metazoa; Chordata; Mammalia; Rodentia; Muridae
Exons: 2
Source: RefSeq, a predicted model, not a curated record
CGCCCCCACCUUCUGUUGCCCGAGAACUCAACAGAGUUGGACUCUCGCGAGAGCUCAUCGGCCUCCACCACGCUCUGCGCGCGCGUGUUUGUGUGUUGCUAGGUGUGGCUGCUUCCUCGACGUUCGAGAGUGGUUUCGAGGUGAUCCUCGGCUCCGGUGACAGUUUCCAAGGCAAAGAUAUGAGUUAGCUGGUAAACUGUCCAGAAAGAUCUGGUAAACACUUGUCAUGGGCCUGUCUCUGUUUGUCUGCACUUCCUGAGCUCCUAGUCUUUCAUUUCUACUAAAUAAUAAUCUGAUCCAGACUUCUGACAAUGAUUUUCUUUGGAUCUCCCAGACAAAGCCACUGUAUUGUAAACAGUUGCUAUUUACUGUA